CAAAAACCUGUCCAAUCGUUGACGGUCAUCCCUGCAGCAAUGACCUCGCUGCCUCUGUUGACAGUUCCAGCGACAAGAGGUACUUGAAGAAGCGUUGAAAGUUCGUCUAGGUCUUCGACUGACGUAUGAGGAUGAACCUGUUUCAAGAUGAUACAGAGGAGAUGCAGUUUGUUUUAAAAUCCUGGUAAGAUUGGACAAAUGACAUAAAAUUUCCCUAGGGUUUUAAAGAGGUAAAUUUCAUACA
Long non-coding RNA from Asparagus officinalis (garden asparagus), 244 nucleotides. RefSeq lists it as uncharacterized. The record is from RefSeq and is a predicted model, not a curated record. The transcript has 3 exons. Lineage: Eukaryota; Viridiplantae; Streptophyta; Magnoliopsida; Asparagales; Asparagaceae.